Molecule: ribosomal RNA, 763 nt
Filed under: uncultured Acinetobacter sp.
Lineage: Bacteria; Pseudomonadati; Pseudomonadota; Gammaproteobacteria; Moraxellales; Moraxellaceae
Description: bacterial SSU rRNA
Rfam family: Bacterial small subunit ribosomal RNA
Source: RNAcentral
GGCGGACGGGUGAGUAAUGCUUAGGAAUCUGCCUAUUAGUGGGGGACAACGUUCCGAAAGGAACGCUAAUACCGCAUACGCCCUACGGGGGAAAGCAGGGGAUCUUCGGACCUUGCGCUAAUAGAUGAGCCUAAGUCGGAUUAGCUAGUUGGUGGGGUAAAGGCCUACCAAGGCGACGAUCUGUAGCGGGUCUGAGAGGAUGAUCCGCCACACUGGGACUGAGACACGGCCCAGACUCCUACGGGAGGCAGCAGUGGGGAAUAUUGGACAAUGGGCGGAAGCCUGAUCCAGCCAUGCCGCGUGUGUGAAGAAGGCCUUUUGGUUGUAAAGCACUUUAAGCGAGGAGGAGGCUCCUUUAGUUAAUACCUAAAGAGAGUGGACGUUACUCGCAGAAUAAGCACCGGCUAACUCUGUGCCAGCAGCCGCGGUAAUACAGAGGGUGCGAGCGUUAAUCGGAUUUACUAGGCGUAAAGCGUGCGUAGGCGGCUUUUUAAGUCGGAUGUGAAAUCCCUGAGCUUAACUUAGGAAUUGCAUUCGAUACUGGAAAGCUAGAGUAUGGGAGAGGAUGGUAGAAUUCCAGGUGUAGCGGUGAAAUGCGUAGAGAUCUGGAGGAAUACCGAUGGCGAAGGCAGCCAUCUGGCCUAAUACUGACGCUGAGGUACGAAAGCAUGGGGAGCAAACAGGAUUAGAUACCCUGGUAGUCCAUGCCGUAAACGAUGUAUACUAGCCGUUGGGGCCUUUGAGGCUUUAGUGGCGCAAGCUA